This 1767-nucleotide long non-coding RNA is filed under the name Sus scrofa (pig). RNAcentral's name for it is "lncRNA (ENSSSCG00005011013.1)". The record is from RNAcentral. Lineage: Eukaryota; Metazoa; Chordata; Mammalia; Artiodactyla; Suidae.
GGGUGGACCAUGGGAGGCUUCAGAAGUCUUACUUUGUAGCUGAUGUCAAGGGGGCCCUGGGUAAAAUUAGCACUAACGUUUGGGACAAGUAAAAACAUUUGUUACAGGAUAGAGGAAAGAAUCACCAUUGCCAAGAAUGGACUGAAGUUUCUGGUGGCAAGCCCAACAAGUAGGCUUUGGUCAAGCCACUCUAAAAUCAGGUAUCCCCGGGUCAUGAAGGCAACAGCAGAUGAAGAAUAUAAAUAUACCUGAGUUCCCUUUCUGGAUCUACUACUGACUUGCUGAGUGAGUAUACCUACUUCUUCAUGUAUUUGGGCACCAGUUUUCUCAACCCUAAAAUGAGGAAGCUCAAAUGGAUAGUCCCCAGAAAAAAGGUCCCCUCUGAUAUUCAGUGAAGCAGCCAUUUUCCUGUCUUAAAUUCUUUAGGAAUAGAAUUUCAUAUUUUCCUCAUUAAAUCUUUCCUCAGAUUUGACUGAGGACAUACCUGAAAAAGAGAUGAAACUCAAGAUUUUAAAGCAUGCACUAUCUCUGAUUCUAUGCCAUAUUUUGGCAGUUGUUAUGUUCCUAGUCCUCAGUGAGUAGAUGGAUGAGGGGUACCUCAUUCUCUUUGUUAGUAAUAAAAUAUAAUGCCUAUGUAUUAUUACUGCUUAGACUGAAUCAUAUGUUUUGAGGUAGGUUCUGAAUCAUAUGGCCUGAGGUGGACUUUUAUUUGUCCAACUUAUUGGUGGAAUUACAUUUGUUGAGUUUUAACCUCUUGAGACUUUUUCCUCUCAAUCAUAAAGUAGGGAUUAUAAUAUCAACCUCAUCAAGUAGUUUAGAAAAUCAACUAUGACAAGCCACAAAUGCAAUAUAUAGUGUGAAUGCAGUGUAGUCAUUACAGCUUUCUAUCCAAAACCCUUAAGGAACUGCAUUUAUAGAAGCAUCUGGAGGAAUGGGCAUGUUAAGAAAUGUUUUCUUUCUACUAGGGUGACUAUCAGCAAGUCUAUCCAGCUAACAUACAAAGACCAGGGUUCCCUACUUCUAUAUUACUUUGUUUCCCAAGAAUAUUCCCUUGAUGAGAAUAUAUUGACCUAAAAAAGCUUUAUUAUUGACUUUUUGUUUCCUUUAAGUGUCCCAAAUAGCCCCAUUUAGUUAACUCUUUGGGUUCAUUGGAUUGUUAAAAAGCGAUAAUUCGACAAAUUUUCAUUGAGCACCUACUGUGUUCUAGUUACAUAGUGAGGUGCAGUAGUGAGAACUAAGGCAUAUUUGGAAACUUCCCUUUUAUAUUGUCUGAGAGUUUGUUAAUCUGAAUGAAACUUCAAGGGGUUGCAGAAAUCCUCAGAACCUUGGGGAGUUGCAAUUAAAGUAGAGGGAUUAAGGAAGUCAGACGGACACUCAGACUGCCUAUCCUUUCAUUAAACCCUAUCUGUAGGAUGGCACCUACUGUUAUGUGAGAUGCUAAUUGCAGUCUGGUACCCUUUUCAGAGGUAAAAGGGAGCUGCAUCCUGGAGGGAGGGAAACUUGGUUUUCACACAAGGCCUCAUGGAUCAGUGAGACUUUGCCUUAUACAAAUUAAGCAUCUGAGGUUUUAUAUCUGUCCCAUAAGGAUUUAUUUUGGAAUUACUCUCUCCUUUUGUUAGAUCACCUGCUACUCCUCCAGGUGGACAAUAUGUCCCAUUCAGAAGCUCUCCCUUCACAUCUACUUUGUGUAGAGAAUGUUCAAAAACAUAUAUUAAUUUUUUAAUGGAGUUCUUGGUUUAUUAUACCAAUAUUCCCCUCUUUGCAUUU